Small nuclear RNA from Zootoca vivipara (common lizard), 103 nucleotides. NCBI's taxonomy places the organism in Eukaryota, Metazoa, Chordata, Lepidosauria, Squamata, Lacertidae. The record is from RefSeq and is a predicted model, not a curated record.
UCACUUCGGCAGCAGAUAUACUCAAAUUGGCACAAUACAGAGAAGAUUAACAUGGCCCCUGUGCAAGGAUGGCACACAAAAUCAAGAACUGUUCCAUACGUUU